CACUGAGGCGCGAAAGCGUGGGGAGCAAACAGGCAUUAGAUUGGGCUGGUAGUCCACGCCGUAAACGAUGAGUGCUAAGUGUUAGAGGGUUUCCGCCCUUUAGUGCUGAAGUUAACGCAUUAAGCACUCCGCCUGGGGAGUACGGCCGCAAGGCUGAAACUCAAAGGAAUUGACGGGGGCCCGCACAAGCGGUGGAGCAUGUGGUUUAAUUCUGAGCAACGCGAAGAACCUUACCAGGUCUUGACAUCCUCUGACAACCCUAGAGAUAGGGCUUCUCCUUCGGGAGCAGAGUGACAGGUGGUGCAUGGUUGUCGUCAGCUCGUGUCGUGAGAUGUUGGGUUAAGUCCCGCAACGAGCGCAACCCUUGAUCUUAGUUGCCAUCAUUUAGUUGGGCACUCUAAGGUGACUGCCGGUGACAAACCGGAGGAAGGUGGGGAUGACGUCAAAUCAUCAUGCCCCUUAUGACCUGGGCUACACACGUGCUACAAUGGACGGUACAAAGAGCUGCAAGACCGCGAGGUGGAGCUAAUCUCAUAAAACCGUUCUCAGUUCGGAUUGUAGGCUGCAACUCGCCUACAUGAAGCUGGAAUCGCUA
RNAcentral lists this ribosomal RNA (595 nucleotides) under Bacillus sp. BAB-5036. Its description in RNAcentral is "bacterial SSU rRNA". It matches the Rfam family "Bacterial small subunit ribosomal RNA", at positions 744 to 1337 of the family's 1533-position model. Lineage: Bacteria; Bacillati; Bacillota; Bacilli; Caryophanales; Bacillaceae. The record is from RNAcentral.